RNAcentral lists this ribosomal RNA (367 nucleotides) under uncultured bacterium. Its description in RNAcentral is "bacterial SSU rRNA". It matches the Rfam family "Bacterial small subunit ribosomal RNA", at positions 28 to 391 of the family's 1533-position model. The record is from RNAcentral.
GAUGAACGCUAGCGGCAGGCUUAAUACAUGCAAGUCGAGGGGCAACAGGGGGAAGCAAUACCUGCUGGCGACCGGCAAACGGGUGUGGAGCACGUACAGAACCUUCCUCUGAGUGGGGGAUAGCCCGGAGAAAUCCGGAUUAAUACCCCAUAGUAUUAUUGUGUGGCAUCACAUAAUAAUUAAAGAUUUAUUGCUUAGAGAUGGCUGUGCGGCUGAUUAGGUAGUUGGCGGGGUAAAGGCCCACCAAGCCAGCGAUCAGUAACCGGUGUGAGAGCACGACCAGUCACACGGGCACUGAGACACGGGCCCGACUCCUACGGGAGGCAGCAGUAAGGAAUAUUGGUCAAUGGACGCAAGUCUGAACCAG